RNAcentral lists this ribosomal RNA (497 nucleotides) under uncultured bacterium. RNAcentral describes it as "partial 16S ribosomal RNA". It matches the Rfam family "Bacterial small subunit ribosomal RNA", at positions 28 to 507 of the family's 1533-position model. The record is from RNAcentral.
GAUGAACGCUGGCGGCGUGCCUAAUACAUGCAAGUCGAGCGAACAGACGAGGAGCUUGCUCCUCUGACGUUAGCGGCGGACGGGUGAGUAACACGUGGAUAACCUACCUAUAAGACUGGGAUGACUUCGGGAAACCGGAGCUAAUACCGGAUAAUAUAUUGAACCGCAUGGUUCAAUAGUGAAAGACGGUUUUGCUGUCACUUAUAGAUGGAUCCGCGCCGCAUUAGCUAGUUGGUAAGGUAACGGCUUACCAAGGCAACGAUGCGUAGCCGACCUGAGAGGGUGAUCGGCCACACUGGAACUGAGACACGGUCCAGACUCCUACGGGAGGCAGCAGUAGGGAAUCUUCCGCAAAGGGCGAAAGCUUGACGGAGCAACGCCGCGUGAGUGAUGAAGGUCUUCGGAUCGUAAAACUCUGUUAUUAGGGAAGAACAAAUGUGUAAGUAACUAUGCACGUCUUGACGGUACCUAAUCAGAAAGCCACGGCUAACUACGUG